RNAcentral lists this long non-coding RNA (2268 nucleotides) under Vigna radiata. RNAcentral describes it as "long non-coding RNA (VRAD_LNC009222)". Lineage: Eukaryota; Viridiplantae; Streptophyta; Magnoliopsida; Fabales; Fabaceae. The record is from RNAcentral.
AAUUGAUAGCCCUGCUGUUCUUCCCCUCGUCACUCAGCUUGUGUACAGUCAAAUCUCCAAUUUGACAUCAAUCAUCAGCCAGGAAAUUAGCAGGGAGUCCACUUUCUGUGUCAAAGAUCCGUGAGUUUCUCGCUUUUAAUAUUUUUUUAUUAUACUAUAGCAUUUUUUCCCAUCUAUGUGAUUACUUUUGCAACAUGGUGUACUGGCGUGGGAUGGAUAGACAAUACACAGUUUUAUUACCAGGAUGAACGGAUAGAUCAGUCUGUGUUUUCAUAGUGAUUACUGGCAUUGUUGUGAUGGUUUGAAUCAGUUCUUUUGUGUGUAUAGAAUGAGAUGAGCUUGUUUGCUAGAGCAUAACUCAGGAAUUGUUUCAUUGUGUUUAUUUGAUGUGAUGGGCAUGUUAGUGAAAAAUGCAGUUACAUUUUUUUUCAAAACGCCGGUUGAAAAGGUGUGUGUGUGUGUGUGUAUAUAUAUAUGAGAGAGAGAGANNNNNNNNNNNNNNNNNNNNNNNNNNNNNNNNNNNNNNNNNNNNNNNNNNNNNNNNNNNNNNNNNNNNNNNNNNNNNNNNNNNNNNNNNNNNNNNNNNNNNNNNNNNNNUUAGUUGGCCCCAUCAAUCGUGAAGGGCUGUGGCUCCCAGAUUUAGUUCCUUGUAAAAUUUCAAAGAAAAGAAGGUGAACCGUCUCAUAAGGUACAUUUAAAUUUGAUUGAGAAAGUGGAUUUUAUUUUUUCAGGGAUGCUGAUUGGAAUCAAGCAUUUAAUUUUUCAACCGAUUUGGACUUUUUGGCAUCUUGCAUUAAGAAGACUAGAGGUUAGAAACAUACCUUUUCUCUCUCUCUCUCUCUCUCUCUCUCUCUCUCUCUAUCAUUUCUUACAGUUACCUUAUUGUGUUUCUCAGCAGCCAACCAACAUGUUCAUGAUUUAGCUAGAAAAUCUGAUUUAGCAAGUUCAUGAAUCCAAGGAAACAGAAAUUUGUAGAACUGCUUAUUGGUCUGUGAGGAUGAAAAUUAUAGAUAUAUGGGUUAUAACUCAUGGAUGUAAUUUUGAGAGGGAUAAAUAGUUAGUACAAAAUUGAUAGUAUACUUAAUGUUAAGAUUUUCGGUAUCGGAUUCACUUUAUUAAAUAGUAUGUUAAAACCGAGUCAGCCAGCUGUUAUUUUAUUGGGACAGUUGGAGUCUGUUAUAGAACAGUUAAAUCUUAACUGACUAGCUUACAAAUCAAGCUAUCUGGUUGUAUAUAUACUUUUGAGUGUUGUAACUCUAUAAUCAACAUCAACAUUACAAUACAUUUUACUGUCACGAUUUCUCUUCUCUAAAUUCUUUAUAGGCAAACAUGGAGUUCAUGAAUUAUGCUUUGACUAUAUUGUUCACUGUUAACAUUAGGUCCCUCAUUAUUUUCUACUACCCGUCUUUUAUAAUUGUGUGUUGUUUGUACUCUACAAUUUGGACCACUGUUUUUCCUUCCAUCCUGUAAAACUGGGGACUGGGGCAAAAAAAGAAAGUGUUUCUUGCUACGUCUGAGGUGACUGGAUGAGGGAAGGAACAUCAUUUUAAUUUUCUCUGAAUACAAGAAAUCUAUUUGUCUCACGAGACCACUCUUAUGUUUUGGACUCUGAUGAUAUAACAGGAGAUAUUGCAAAACGUUUGUGUACAGCGGCAGAAGUGAAGUUUUUCUUGGAUAGUUUAUUGGGGAAAUCUGUAAGUGCCAAUUAUUUAAAGCCUAACAAGAACUGCAAUUUAACCUCGUGGGUCUCUGGUUGUGAGCCAGGAUGGGCCUGUAGUGAUCUCUCAAGCCAGAAGGUUGAUCUUAAAAAUUCCAAGGAGAUACCUGCAAGAACUUCAAACUGUCAACCAUGUUGUGAAGGCUUCUUUUGUCCUCAUGGUAUCACAUGCAUGAUACGUAAGUACACUGACUGAGAAUCUUUAAAUUAUAUUUUUACCAAGAAGACUGCAAAUAGCUUCUUUAGCAACUUUUAAUUCAACUUUCAAGCUUCUUCACGAUGUUUGCUACUUUUUAACUUUAAAGAUUCAACAAAGAAUUUUAAAUAGAUAUUCAAGGAUUUACAUUUGUUCAGUGUAAUUCAUAUCUUUGGAAAUGUAUCUUGUACCGGUGAGUGUGAUUCGUGCGUAAUUUCUGCAAUGAAAGCCAAUAUUAUUAUAGCAUAUUGAUAUAAAUUAUAAUAAAACUGGCUAUUGUCCAUGUAUAUAUCUUAAAAUCUGUGUCUGAUGCUUCUAUUCUGUCUUUUUUGGCAUUUGCAACACUGUUCUUGAA